RNAcentral lists this ribosomal RNA (307 nucleotides) under uncultured bacterium. RNAcentral describes it as "bacterial LSU rRNA". It matches the Rfam family "Bacterial large subunit ribosomal RNA", at positions 115 to 471 of the family's 2925-position model. The record is from RNAcentral.
CGAAUGGGGAAACCCACCACUUUAUGUGGUACUUUAAACUGAAUACAUAGGUUUAAAGAGACAACCUGGAGAACUGAAACAUCUAAGUAACCAGAGGAAAAGAAAUCAAUUGAGAUUCCGUUAGUAGUGGCGAGCGAACGCGGACUAGGCCAGUAAUUUUGUUAAAAAAAUUUGAAUAGUUUGGAAAUGCUAACCAUAGAGGGUGAUAGUCCCGUAUGAGUAAUGUUUAACAAAAUUCUUGAGUAAAGCGGGACACGAGAAAUCCUGCUCGAAUAUAGGGGGACCGGAAUUAAGCCUAAAUCUCUUC